This 307-nucleotide unclassified non-coding RNA is filed under the name plant metagenome. RNAcentral's name for it is "partial contains 5.8S ribosomal RNA, internal transcribed spacer 2, and large subunit ribosomal RNA". The stretch from base 1 to 105 matches the Rfam family "5.8S ribosomal RNA", at positions 50 to 154 of the family's 154-position model. The record is from RNAcentral.
GAAAUGCGAUAAGUAAUGUGAAUUGCAGAAUUCAGUGAAUCAUCGAAUCUUUGAACGCACAUUGCGCCCGCUAGCACUCUGGCGGGCAUGCCUGUUCGAGCGUCAUUUCAACCCUCAGAACCCCUUGCGGGAUCUGGCGUUGGGGAUUGGCAUCCAGCCAGCCCCGAAAUCUAGUGGCGGUCCCUCCGCGACCUCCCCUGUGCAGUAGCGAUACCUCGCAGCGGGACAGCGGUCUGACCACGCCGUAAAACCCCCAACUUCUCAAGGUUGACCUCGAAUCAGGUAGGAAUACCCGCUGAACUUAAGC